GGAGGUUAAGGUUCAUUUCAAAGCUGAAGACUAAAUAAAUUCAGAACAAGUGAUGGAGAGUAAACCACUGAUGAGGAAGUGAGCAGGAAGUUGAAGCUGUGUUCAUCUCUGAGACUGUCUCAUUUGUGAAUGUGAGAGCAGAGAGUAGAGACUGACAGACAGAGAAGUACGAUGGCUGCAGUCAUGUGGAUUCAAAUGUCUUCAUUCCUGCUGCUGAUGCUUCAGAUUACAGCAGAAACAACACCACAGACUUUGUCCUCCUUCAGAGCUGCCAGAGCUGGACAUGACAUCAUUUUGUCUUGUGAAAAUGUGAUAGAUGGUCAACAUAACUGCAACUAUAGUACCUGGUUAUUCGAUGAUUCAAGAAACACAGCAGUAGAGCUGGUUGUUCAUGGACAGAUUAAAGAAAAUGUUACAGCUGAAUACACCAGACUGAGUGUUACAGCGAACUGUUCUCUGCAUAUAAAGAAGGUCAAAGCUGAAGAUGUUGGUUGUUACACCUGCAGACAGUACAAAACAAGACGAGGACCACAAGAAGGUUCAGACUUUAUGAUUGAUCUGUCUGUUAUUAACAUGACUGAACAUGAGAACAAUGAUAAAGUCAUUGUGAACUGCUCUGUGCUGACACAUGGACACUGUAGACACACAGUGGAGUGGCUGCAUGAGGGUGAAAAGAAAAAAUCAGACGUGGAGAUUAAACCAGGUUCCUGCUCUGUGACUGUGACAUUUAAAAGAUCUCACCGUGAUCAGAAGUCAGAGUUUUAUAAUUCAUUGAAAUGUAAAGUGACAGAUGAUUACACUAAUGAAGAACAACUGUUUCCCUUCAAACUCAAAUCCUCAGGUGAGAAAACAGGUGAGAUUAUCUUCAAAUCACUUCACAGUGAUUAG
RNAcentral lists this long non-coding RNA (888 nucleotides) under Oreochromis niloticus (Nile tilapia). RNAcentral's name for it is "lncRNA (ENSONIG00000029198.1)". The record is from RNAcentral. Lineage: Eukaryota; Metazoa; Chordata; Actinopteri; Cichliformes; Cichlidae.